CCUACGGGGUGCAGCAGUGGGGAAUAUUGGACAAUGGGCGAAAGCCUGAUCCAGCCAUGCCGCGUGUGUGAAGAAGGCCUUCGGGUUGUAAAGCACUUUCAGUGGGGAAGAAAGCCUUGGGGCUAAUACCCUCGAGGAAGGACAUCACCCACAGAAGAAGCACCGGCUAACUCCGUGCCAGCAGCCGCGGUAAUACGGAGGGUGCGAGCGUUAAUCGGAAUUACUGGGCGUAAAGCGCGCGUAGGCGGUCUGAUAAGCCGGUUGUGAAAGCCCCGGGCUCAACCUGGGAACGGCAUCCGGAACUGUCAGGCUAGAGUGCAGGAGAGGAAGGUAGAAUUCCUGGUGUAGCGGUGAAAUGCGUAGAGAUCGGGAGGAAUACCAGUGGCGAAGGCGGCCUUCUGGACUGACACUGACGCUGAGGUGCGAAAGCGUGGGUAGCAAACAGGAUUAGAUACCCCGGUAGUC
Molecule: ribosomal RNA, 465 nt
Filed under: Vreelandella stevensii
Lineage: Bacteria; Pseudomonadati; Pseudomonadota; Gammaproteobacteria; Oceanospirillales; Halomonadaceae
Description: partial 16S ribosomal RNA
Rfam family: Bacterial small subunit ribosomal RNA
Source: RNAcentral